GACUGGGACAGCAGCAGCGAAAACCACACACGUUAGCCGUUUAUCCUGGGUUCGUGUUGCAUGAAGUAAACGCUGUGUGGCCAGAGUGCAGGGAGCAAUGAUUUCCCAGCACUGAGUGUUCUGCAGAGAAAAACGGGUUUCUACCUACUGAGGUUAAAGGAUUAAUGAAUACUUGGCACAUGAAAAAUGAAUUGUGAUAGCAGGAAGAUUGCAUGUAGACAGUGUGAUAAGGUGCAUAACAGAGAAGCAUCAUGUUAUACAUGUUGCCAUGCCCUGAGAAGCAGAUGGAGCUCAUUUCCAUUGAAUUUCAGAUAAAAUAUUUUAAAACAUCAAUA
Molecule: long non-coding RNA, 335 nt
Organism: Harpia harpyja (harpy eagle)
Lineage: Eukaryota; Metazoa; Chordata; Aves; Accipitriformes; Accipitridae
Exons: 3
Source: RefSeq, a predicted model, not a curated record